AUUGAACGCUGGCGGCAGGCCUAACACAUGCAAGUCGAGCGAGCGGCGGACGGGUGAGUAAUGUCUGGGAAACUGCCCGAUGGAGGGGGAUAACUACUGGAAACGGUAGCUACUACCGCAUACCCUCAGAUGUGCCCAUAUGGGAUUAGCUAGUAGGUGGGGUAACGGCUCACCUAGGCGACGAUCCCUCGCUGGUCUGAGAGGAUGACCAGCAACACUGGAACUGAGACACGGUCCAUACUCCUACGGGAGGCAGCAGUGGGUAAUAUUGCACAAUGGGCGCAAGCCUGAUGCAGCAAUGCCGCGUGUGUGAAGAAGGCCUUCGGGUUGUAAAGCACGUUCAGCGGGGAGGCGUUACCCGCAGAAGAAGCACCGGCUAACUCCGUGCCAGCAGCCGCGGUAAUUC
Molecule: ribosomal RNA, 406 nt
Filed under: uncultured bacterium
Lineage: Bacteria
Description: partial 16S ribosomal RNA
Rfam family: Bacterial small subunit ribosomal RNA
Source: RNAcentral